UAGCAUAAUCAUUAGUCCUGUAAUUUAGGACUGGAAUGAAUGGUUUAACUAAAUAAACCUGUCUUAUUAUUAUACUUCAAACUUCAUAUUUUAGUAAAAAAGCUAAAAUUUACAUUAAAGACAAGAAGACCCUAUUAAGCUUUAUAAUCACAAUUUAACAUCAAUAUAAAUUGAAAAUUAUUUUACUGGGGCAGUAAACAAAAAAAAAUUUCGUUUAUAUAAUAUGAAUUCAACUCUUGAAAAAUCAAAAAAUUCUUAAAAAGGAAUAAGUUACUAUAGGGAUAACAGCAUAAUUUUCUUUAAGAGUUCUUAUCAUCAAGAAAGUUUGUGACCUCGAUGUUGGAUUAAGAUACCUUUUUUAUGCAACAAUAAAACUAA
RNAcentral lists this ribosomal RNA (378 nucleotides) under Euscorpius sp. EC208. Its description in RNAcentral is "partial large subunit ribosomal RNA". Lineage: Eukaryota; Metazoa; Arthropoda; Arachnida; Scorpiones; Euscorpiidae. The record is from RNAcentral.